AAUGGGAGCGGCAGACGGGUGAGUAACGCGUGGGGAUCUACCCAUUGGUACGGAAUAACCCAGGGAAACUUGGACUAAUACCGUAUGUGCCCUUCGGGGGAAAGAUUUAUCGCCAAUGGAUGAACCCGCGUCGGAUUAGCUAGUUGGUGGGGUAAAGGCUCACCAAGGCGACGAUCCGUAGCUGGUCUGAGAGGAUGAUCAGCCACACUGGGACUGAGACACGGCCCAGACUCCUACGGGAGGCAGCAGUGGGGAAUAUUGGACAAUGGGCGCAAGCCUGAUCCAGCCAUGCCGCGUGAGUGAUGAAGGCCUUAGGGUUGUAAAGCUCUUUCGCCGGUGAAGAUAAUGACGGUAACCGGAGAAGAAGCCCCGGCUAACUUCGUGCCAGCAGCCGCGGUAAUACGAAGGGGGCUAGCGUUGCUCGGAAUCACUGGGCGUAAAGCGCACGUAGGCGGAUCGUUAAGUCAGGGGUGAAAUCCUGGGGCUCAACCUCAGAACUGCCCUUGAUACUGGCGAUCUCGAGUUCGAGAGAGGUUGGUGGAACUCCGAGUGUAGAGGUGAAAUUCGUAGAUAUUCGGAAGAACACCAGUGGCGAAGGCGGC
This 602-nucleotide ribosomal RNA is filed under the name uncultured Xanthobacter sp. RNAcentral's name for it is "bacterial SSU rRNA". It matches the Rfam family "Bacterial small subunit ribosomal RNA", at positions 88 to 725 of the family's 1533-position model. Lineage: Bacteria; Pseudomonadati; Pseudomonadota; Alphaproteobacteria; Hyphomicrobiales; Xanthobacteraceae. The record is from RNAcentral.